UCAUAGAAAAAUCAAUACUGAGCCAAGGAUUAUUGGAUCCCAUAGAACCAUGGAGGCGUGGCAGUGAAAUUCUCCCAAAGGCAGACGGUGUUCCUAGGUUUGGAAAUAUAAAUCCCAUGGGAAGUCAGCUGAAGAACAUUUUAUGCAUCACUUAUCCUGUUACGAGCCCUGUGCUGUUCUGUCUCUCUAUAAGACUGGCUGAAACCACAACGGUUGUUUGCAAUCUGCACUCUAACUUUGGAUCACCUAGUUAAUACUCUGACUCUG
This 267-nucleotide long non-coding RNA is filed under the name Macaca mulatta (Rhesus monkey). RNAcentral describes it as "lncRNA (ENSMMUG00000040330.2)". The stretch from base 87 to 194 matches the Rfam family "Rhabdomyosarcoma 2 associated transcript conserved region 4". Lineage: Eukaryota; Metazoa; Chordata; Mammalia; Primates; Cercopithecidae. The record is from RNAcentral.